GAGUUUGAUCUUGGCUUAGAACGAACGCUGGCGGCAUGCCUAACACAUGCAAGUCGAACGAAGGCUUCGGCCUUAGUGGCGCACGGGUGCGUAACGCGUGGGAACCUGCCCCUCGGUUCGGAAUAACACAGAGAAAUUUGUGCUAAUACCGGAUGAUGACUUCGGUCCAAAGAUUUAUCGCCGAGGGAUGGGCCCGCGUAGGAUUAGCUUGUUGGUGGGGUAAUGGCCUACCAAGGCGACGAUCCUUAGCUGGUCUGAGAGGAUGAUCAGCCACACUGGGACUGAGACACGGCCUAGACUCCUACGGGAGGCAGCAGUGGGGAAUAUUGGACAAUGGGCGAAAGCCUGAUCCAGCAAUGCCGCGUGAGUGAUGAAGGCCUUAGGGUUGUAAAGCUCUUUUACCCGGGAUGAUAAUGACAGUACCGGGAGAAUAAGCUCCGGCUAACUCCGUGCCAGCAGCCGCCGUAAC
RNAcentral lists this ribosomal RNA (469 nucleotides) under uncultured Alphaproteobacteria bacterium. Its description in RNAcentral is "bacterial SSU rRNA". It matches the Rfam family "Bacterial small subunit ribosomal RNA", at positions 9 to 524 of the family's 1533-position model. The record is from RNAcentral. Lineage: Bacteria; Pseudomonadati; Pseudomonadota; Alphaproteobacteria.